RNAcentral lists this ribosomal RNA (406 nucleotides) under uncultured bacterium. RNAcentral describes it as "partial 16S ribosomal RNA". It matches the Rfam family "Bacterial small subunit ribosomal RNA", at positions 28 to 526 of the family's 1533-position model. The record is from RNAcentral.
GACGAACGCUGGCGGCAGGCCUAACACAUGCAAGUCGAGCGAGCGGCGGACGGGUGAGAAAUGUCUGGGAAACAGCCCGAUGGAGAGGGGUAACUACUGGAAACGGGAGAUAAUACCGCAUACCACAAGAUGGGCCCCGAUGGGAGUAGCUGGUAGGUGGGGUACAGGCUCACCUAGGCGACGAUGCCAAGCUGGGCUGAGAGGAUGACCAGCCACACUGGAACUGAGACACGGUCCAGACUCCUACGGGAGGCAGCAGUGGGGAAUCUUGCACAAUGGGCGCAAGCCUGAUGCAGCAAUGCCGCGUGAGUGAAGAAGGCCUUCGGGUUGUAAAGUACUUUCAGCGGGGAGGCGUUACCCGCACAGAAAGCACCGGCUAACUCCGUGCCAGCAGCCGCGGUAAUAC